Molecule: long non-coding RNA, 673 nt
Filed under: Pan troglodytes (chimpanzee)
Lineage: Eukaryota; Metazoa; Chordata; Mammalia; Primates; Hominidae
Description: lincRNA
Source: RNAcentral
GAGGAUGGGAAGAUGAGAAGUGCUUGUCGCAGGCCUGGAGAUGGAGACCACCCAGGCAUGCAGGGGAUGCUGCCUCUCCUCCAUCCAACAACAAGCCUGCGUGUGCCCAGCCCCCUCUGGUACACGCAUUGCUCCCCAUCCUCGGCAUUGAUCAAUUGAAAAUAAGACCUUGGAAGAACCCCUUGCAAAGCUGACAUUGUACGAGCCAAGGCAGUGAGCCUCACAGGGUCAGGGGGAAGACAGGGGAUCCCGAAGAUAACGUCUGCUACGAACUCAAUUGCAUCCGCCCCAGGCCCUACGUGGAAGCCCUAAUCCCCACGGUGACUGCAUUUGGAGAAGGACCUUCAGCACAUGAUGGAGGCGGCCCCGGAGAGGGUCAGCGAGGGGCCUCCACUGUCUGAGUCCGCUCCUGGCAACGCCUGCUCUCUGCACUCAGAGGCCCGGUCCCGGCAGCUGCCACGUUGCUCAGAAGUUCUGGCAGGGGGAGCCUGAAACCCCUGUCUGCUGGCGACACUCCCGGAGCGGCAGGAAAUCUCUACAUUUUAUUUUUUUUCUUAACAGACAAAAGUAUUUGACUCCAGAAUGAUUUCCAGGAAUUACAGUAUGAGAACUUAGUCUUUGAGAUUUUUAUUUUCUUCUUAAAAAAAUAAAAAUGAAAUCAAAGCAGAAGACA